This 560-nucleotide ribosomal RNA is filed under the name Aspergillus niger. RNAcentral describes it as "eukaryotic LSU rRNA". The stretch from base 219 to 372 matches the Rfam family "5.8S ribosomal RNA". The record is from RNAcentral. Lineage: Eukaryota; Fungi; Ascomycota; Eurotiomycetes; Eurotiales; Aspergillaceae.
CCCUUUAGGGGGAACCUGCGGAAGGAUCAUUACCGAGUGCGGGUCCUUUGGGCCCAACCUCCCAUCCGUGUCUAUUGUACCCUGUUGCUUCGGCGGGCCCGCCGCUUGUCGGCCGCCGGGGGGGCGCCUCUGCCCCCCGGGCCCGUGCCCGCCGGAGACCCCAACACGAACACUGUCUGAAAGCGUGCAGUCUGAGUUGAUUGAAUGCAAUCAGUUAAAACUUUCAACAAUGGAUCUCUUGGUUCCGGCAUCGAUGAAGAACGCAGCGAAAUGCGAUAACUAAUGUGAAUUGCAGAAUUCAGUGAAUCAUCGAGUCUUUGAACGCACAUUGCGCCCCCUGGUAUUCCGGGGGGCAUGCCUGUCCGAGCGUCAUUGCUGCCCUCAAGCCCGGCUUGUGUGUUGGGUCGCCGUCCCCCUCUCCGGGGGGACGGGCCCGAAAGGCAGCGGCGGCACCGCGUCCGAUCCUCGAGCGUAUGGGGCUUUGUCACAUGCUCUGUAGGAUUGGCCGGCGCCUGCCGACGUUUUCCAACCAUUCUUUCCAGGUGACCUCGGAUCAGGUA